RNAcentral lists this ribosomal RNA (492 nucleotides) under uncultured bacterium. RNAcentral's name for it is "partial 16S ribosomal RNA". It matches the Rfam family "Bacterial small subunit ribosomal RNA", at positions 29 to 507 of the family's 1533-position model. The record is from RNAcentral.
AGUGAACGCUGGCGGUAGGCCUAACACAUGCAAGUCGAACGGCAGCACAGUAAGAGCUUGCUCUUACGGGUGGCGAGUGGCGGACGGGUGAGGAAUACAUCGGAAUCUACUUUUUCGUGGGGGAUAACGUAGGGAAACUUACGCUAAUACCGCAUACGACCUACGGGUGAAAGCAGGGGAUCUUCGGACCUUGCGCGAUUGAAUGAGCCGAUGUCGGAUUAGCUAGUUGGCGGGGUAAAGGCCCACCAAGGCGACGAUCCGUAGCUGGUCUGAGAGGAUGAUCAGCCACACUGGAACUGAAACACGGUCCAGACUCCUACGGGAGGCAGCAGUGGGGAAUAUUGGACAAUGGGCGCAAGCCUGAUCCAGCCAUACCGCGUGGGUGAAGAAGGCCUUCGGGUUGUAAAGCCCUUUUGUUGGGAAAGAAAAGCAGCAGGUUAAUACCCCGCUGUUCUGACGGUACCCAAAGAAUAAGCACCGGCUAACUUCGCG